This 231-nucleotide ribosomal RNA is filed under the name Paramoeba aestuarina. Its description in RNAcentral is "partial Bacterial small subunit ribosomal RNA". It matches the Rfam family "Bacterial small subunit ribosomal RNA", at positions 46 to 305 of the family's 1533-position model. Lineage: Eukaryota; Discosea; Flabellinia; Dactylopodida; Paramoebidae. The record is from RNAcentral.
GCCUAACACAUGCAAGUCGAGCGAGAUCUUCGGAUCUAGCGGCGGACGGGUUAGUAACGCGUGGGAACGUACCCAAAGGUAGGGAAUAGCCACUGGAAACGGUGAGUAAUACCCUAUGUGCCCUUCGGGGGAAAGAUUUAUCGGAGAAGGAUCGGCCCGCGUUAGAUUAGGUAGUUGGUGGGGUAAUGGCCUACCAAGCCUACGAUCUAUAGCUGGUUUGAGAGGAUGAUC